CUUUCGGCUCCACCUGCUUAAAGCACCUUCAGAGGUUCCCAUGGUGACAGUAAACAGGUCUCCACUGCCUUGGCCAUCUGCUGUGUUCACCCCACUUCUGAUCUUGUUGGCCGCUCAGGGACUGACAGCCCAGAUGUGCAGCUAUGAUGAGCAGAAACAGGGAGGACUGGAGCCCCCAGCCAUUCUCAUCACUUCCCUGAUCUGUCUAAAUUCUGCCCAGCAGUCCAUGAAAAUGGUGUGCUGAUGACAUAUGUAAGGACUCUAACUCCCCUCAAGCAAUCUGCUCACCUCAAAAGAAUGUCUAGAAACCUCCUAAGGGAAGCAAGCAUAGGCCACUUGGAAGAAGUUUCAAGAAGGAGAGCUGACACCAACUUUGUACACUGGCAGUACAAGGGGCCCUCAGUAAGUGUUACCCUUCCUUUGAGUCAGACAGCUUCAAGCUUGGUGAUCUCUGUCGACCUCAACCUCAAGGCUUUGUCUAGAGGGUCAAAUGAGAAAAACAACAACCAGCUGGUGCAUUUUUCAGGAGUCAUGCAAGUGCUGUUGUCUUCCCUCUCUUUAGGCUUUGAUGAUUUAGUCGUUACAUUUACUGUAACACUUAUCAUGAUCUGUUGUUUUUUCAAGUUAUUUAGGCUGAUGCUUCUAAAGCUAACUGUAUUAAGGACCAUUUAAAAAAUUUCCAGUGCUUUUCAAGUAAAUACUUUUGUA
Molecule: long non-coding RNA, 708 nt
Filed under: Macaca mulatta (Rhesus monkey)
Lineage: Eukaryota; Metazoa; Chordata; Mammalia; Primates; Cercopithecidae
Description: lncRNA (ENSMMUG00000053792.1)
Source: RNAcentral